AUGAUAAAAAUGUACAUUGCAUCUUGCAAACAAAAUUUUAUUCUCACUGACGUUUUAGUAAUUUUUAUAGAAUGGAUUAGUGGACAGUGGCCUUGUGUAAUCAUAUGGCUGAAUUGGGGUUUUGUGACCCUUAAUUCAGUUAUUUACAUGCCACAGUACAAAUGUAUUCCUCUCAAAUGGAUAUUUGUAUGCCUGUGUUGUAGCUUAAAAUUUUACUGGAACAUCCCACUCGAUACAGAUAGAAGAAAUGUGUCUUCACCAAUGAAGUCCAUGGGUGACAUGGAGAAGGAAGAAGUCUUGUCCUCCCCAUGAAAUAGUUCCCCUGUCUGACUGCCUCUGCUGAGUUAUCAAGGCAGUGAGGGGAAGGCAGAACUGUUCAGCUGAUGUGCCAGGAUGAUAGCAUUAGACGUGAGUUUUAAAUAAGGCCCRGUUUGCUUGUGAAAGCUAUAACACUACAACUUUGGAUAAGAAUGUUAUUUUCUUUUCUUUUCAUCUUUUUCCCCUCCCUGCCACUCACAGGCUUUUUUUCCGCUCCCCGUAUGGUUGCACUCUGCUAUGAGUUUGACAUGAUCACAGUUUUCUUACUAUAAAGAUGAUUUUAUUAAACCAUAGUUGCU
This 617-nucleotide long non-coding RNA is filed under the name Apteryx rowi (Okarito brown kiwi). RNAcentral's name for it is "lncRNA (ENSARWG00000002922.1)". The record is from RNAcentral. Lineage: Eukaryota; Metazoa; Chordata; Aves; Apterygiformes; Apterygidae.